This 227-nucleotide ribosomal RNA is filed under the name uncultured bacterium. RNAcentral describes it as "partial 16S ribosomal RNA". It matches the Rfam family "Bacterial small subunit ribosomal RNA", at positions 109 to 334 of the family's 1533-position model. The record is from RNAcentral.
AGUAACGCGUGAGGAACCUGCCUCAAAGAGGGGGGCAACAGUUGGAAACGACUGCUAAUACCGCAUAAGCCCACGGCUCGGCAUCGAGCAGAGGGAAAAGGAGUGAUCCGCUUUGAGAUGGCCUCGCGUCCGAUUAGCUAGUUGGUGAGGUAACGGCCCACCAAGGCGACGAUCGGUAGCCGGACUGAGAGGUUGAACGGCCACAUUGGGACUGAGACACGGCCCAG